GAUGGAGGCGCGUCUGUUAAGAGUAACCUGGUUGCAUCAGGAAAAGCAGUCAGGUAAAAGGGACAGACGCCGAGGGGCCGGAAAGAACCUGUAAUGACCGGUACCCGGGCUGAAGGAUAAGAUCUUUCAGACUGUCGCACCUAGUGCGGAGAGCUGUCAU
This 160-nucleotide non-coding RNA is filed under the name bovine gut metagenome. RNAcentral describes it as "Lysine riboswitch". It matches the Rfam family "Lysine riboswitch aptamer". From Rfam's summary of the family: Riboswitches are metabolite binding domains within certain messenger RNAs that serve as precision sensors for their corresponding targets. Allosteric rearrangement of mRNA structure is mediated by ligand binding, and this results in modulation of gene expression. The record is from RNAcentral.